RNAcentral lists this ribosomal RNA (253 nucleotides) under uncultured bacterium. RNAcentral describes it as "partial 16S ribosomal RNA". It matches the Rfam family "Bacterial small subunit ribosomal RNA", at positions 524 to 776 of the family's 1533-position model. The record is from RNAcentral.
UACGUAGGGGGCUAGCGUUGUCCGGAAUCAUUGGGCGUAAAGCGCGCGUAGGCGGCCCGGUAAGUCCGCUGUGAAAGUCAAAGGCUCAACCUUUGAAUGUCAGCGGAUACUGCCGGGCUAGAGUCCGGAAGAGGCGAGUGGAACUCCUGGUGUAGCGGUGGAAUGCGCAGAUAUCAGGAAGAACACCAACAGCGAAGGCAGCUCGCUGGGACGGAACUGACGCUAAGGCGCGAAAGCGUGGGGAGCGAACAGG